CCUACGGGAGGCUGCAGUGAGGAAUAUUGGUCAAUGGGCGCGAGCCUGAACCAGCCAAGUCGCGUGAGGGAAGACGGCCCUACGGGUGGUAAACCUCUUUUGCCGGGGAGCAACGGGCGCCACGUGUGGCGCCACUGAGAGUACCCGGAGAAAAAGCAUCGGCUAACUCCGGACCAGCAGCCGCGGUAAUACGGAGGAUGCGAGGGUUAUCCGGAUUUAGUGGGUUUAAUGGGUGCGUAGGCGGAGCGUUAAGCAAGUGGUCACAUUGAGGGGCUCAACCCCUUCCCGCCAUUGAAACUGGCGCUCUUGAGUGGAAGAGAAGUAUGCGGAAUGCGUGGUGUAGCGGUGAAAUGCAUAGAUAUCACGCAGAACCCCGAUUGCGAAGGCAGCAUGCCGGCUUCCGACUGACGCUGAAGCACGAAAGCGUGGGGAUCGAACAGGAUUAGAUACCCGGGUAGUC
Molecule: ribosomal RNA, 460 nt
Filed under: uncultured bacterium
Lineage: Bacteria
Description: partial 16S ribosomal RNA
Rfam family: Bacterial small subunit ribosomal RNA
Source: RNAcentral